Long non-coding RNA from Pecten maximus, 396 nucleotides. RefSeq lists it as uncharacterized. The record is from RefSeq and is a predicted model, not a curated record. Lineage: Eukaryota; Metazoa; Mollusca; Bivalvia; Pectinida; Pectinidae. The transcript is spliced from 3 exons.
CUGAAACUGCGCAUUUAUUAAUUAGUUCGUUAAUUUAUUUCACCAGCAGUUUUACAUUAUAACCACCAGCAUUAAAACUAUGUUGUUUAUCAUUUUUAAAGAUAUUUCUUGUUUUCAGUUUCUUUUGGUUCAUAUAUGAUGUAGUUAAACUACAAUGUAUAUAAUUAUGCAUUUAUGAAAAAUAUCAAGACUUCAAAUAAAGUGCUAGAUCUAUAACACUAAAAAUUAUAUAUUGACUACAUACAGAAGACUGAGGCCUACACCGCAGUAAGACAGGUCAUGGCACUUCCAUUUGUCCCGUGGAUGAGGUGGAGCACUGUUUCAUUGCUGUCUUUGGACCAAGUGUUCAACUACAUUCAGAGGAAGCCAAGAAUCUGCCACUGUAGAUCCAGAUUG